AGGUCAAGGCUGCAGUGAGCCAUGAUAGCACCACUGCACUCCAGCCUGGGUGACAGAGUGAGACCCUGCCCACUUCCUGCAUUUUAUAUGGCACAUUGGUUGGAAGUUCUAACAACAGGUUAUGUUAGAGAUAGGUAGUUGUGGGUAUUAUACUUCUAGACAUGGCUGAAGCCUAUCUGGAAAGAGAUAUCUCAGCUGCACUGUUAUUUUUAUACGUGAAGAGCAGUUCUUCACAGUUAUCAGAGUGAAAAUUCCAUCUGCUACUUGCUAUAUACAGACUCUGAGCAGAAGCCCCAGACCUUUAAAAAUGCUUAUUUGUUACAAGAAAAUACAAUACAUUUUCAGAAUCCUCAAAUAUUGAACCAGAAAGAUUAUAGAAAAUUCUAUGCCAACAAAAGCCAGUAGAGAUUACAAACAUUAUCUGGAGAGGAAAACAAAAGUAUCCUGAAUAUCCCUAUUGAGUAAACUGCCUCAUUAUUUAGUUUUAAAACACAAUUUAGAUUUUUUUCCUCUAUUGUCACUGAUAUAAUUUCAAAGUUAGGCCGAUAAUUGAAGAGUGGGUGAGCAAGACACGUACUGUACACGGCAGGGGCAAGUAGAACCGAGGAGGCAGGGGGACACAUGAGCAAGUUUAACUUUUGAUUCUUUUUAGAAAAGAAAACAAUGAGAAAGAAAACAAUUUAUUAAAUGAGAGGUAGUCACACAUACCUCCAGAAUAUCAAAAUUUAAGCAGCUGGUAUGGCAUUUCAAAUAUGCAUUGUGGGCUGUUCCUUUAGAAAGUCAUCAUAACCUCUGCUUUUCAUUGUCUGUAAAAAAUAGAUGUUAAAUGGCUCUGAGUUUUAAGAGAACACUCGGGCAUCACAAAUUCUCCAAAACAUGUUUGUUUGCUGUUUCCUAAAUAUUUAAUACAAUGCAUAUAUAGGCUAGCAUACAUUGUGAUUGCCUGAUAU
Molecule: long non-coding RNA, 950 nt
Filed under: Pan troglodytes (chimpanzee)
Lineage: Eukaryota; Metazoa; Chordata; Mammalia; Primates; Hominidae
Description: long non-coding RNA NONPTRT004500
Source: RNAcentral